This 76-nucleotide transfer RNA is filed under the name Oscillospiraceae bacterium. Its description in RNAcentral is "tRNA-Thr". It matches the Rfam family "tRNA". Rfam says of the family: Transfer RNA (tRNA) molecules are approximately 80 nucleotides in length. Their secondary structure includes four short double-helical elements and three loops (D, anti-codon, and T loops). The record is from RNAcentral. Lineage: Bacteria; Bacillati; Bacillota; Clostridia; Eubacteriales; Oscillospiraceae.
GCUGGUAUGGCUCAGUCGGUAGAGCAGCUGAUUCGUAAUCAGCAGGCCGCCGGUUCAAGUCCGGCUACCAGCUCCA